Molecule: non-coding RNA, 1583 nt
Organism: Microcebus murinus (gray mouse lemur)
Lineage: Eukaryota; Metazoa; Chordata; Mammalia; Primates; Cheirogaleidae
Source: RefSeq, a predicted model, not a curated record
GUGAAUAAUAGCUCUUCAAGUCUGCAAUAAAAAAUGGCCUCCAAUAAAACUACAUUGCAAAAAAUGGGAAAGAAACAGAAUGGGAAGAGUAAAAAGGUUGAAGAGGCAGAGCCUGAAGAAUUUGUGGUGGAAAAAGUACUGGAUCGACGUGUAGUAAAUGGGAAAGUGGAGUAUUUCCUGAAGUGGAAGGAAUUUACAGAUGCUGACAAUACUUGGGAACCUGAAGAAAAUUUGGAUUGUCCAGAGUUAAUUGAAGCAUUUCUUAAUUCUCAAAAAGCUGGUAAAGAAAAAGAUGGUACAAAAAGAAAAUCUUUAUCUGACAGUGAAUCUGAUGACAGCAAAUCAAAGAAGAAAAGAGAUGCUGCUGACAAACCAAGAGGCUUUGCCAGAGGUCUUGAUCCUGAAAGAAUAAUUUGUGUCACAGAUAGCAGUGGAGAAUUAAUGUUUCUUAUGAAAUGGAAAGAUUCAGAUGAGGCAGAUUUGGUGCUGGCAAAAGAGGCAAAUAUGAAGUGUCCUCAAAUUGUAAUAGCUUUUUAUGAAGAGAGACUAACUUGGCAUUCUUGUCCAGAAGAUGAAGUUCAAUAAUUGUUUGCAUUGCUUUUUAUAUAUAUUUAUAUAUACAUGUAUAUAAAAUCUGGGUCUUGGUUUUUGAUUUACUAGUGUGAAGAAAUAACUACAUCUAAUAAAUCAAGUUUGAUUAAAAAAAAAAAAAAGAAAUUAAAAAGCCACACUAUCAACUUAGUCAUCUCACUUCCUCUAGAAACCUUUGGUACUCGGUAGAGGCUAAAUACAUAUUUCCUUCAUUGAUUGGAUGGAUGGAUGGAAGAAAGGAAUGGCUAAAAUGUAUAGCAAGUAGGAAGCCCAAAAGGAAAUGAAAGUUUGAGGGUCGGCAAAGGGAGAGGGAUUAUUUAGUGAUAGAAAAAACAACACUGAAAUGGUUAAUUAAUAAGACCAGGCUAGUAUGGAGUCAAGUACAAAUGAGGAAAAGGAGAGAGAGAGGGAAGCCUUCCCUAUUUUACUGGAUUUCACAUUUACGUAGCACACCAAAGCCUUGUAAUACGGCUCCAGUAGACCUUGUCCAGACUUAGCUGUCAUCAUUUUCUUUCUUCCCUCUUUAAUGCCUACACAUAGGCACACACACAGCCUAAUGUUCCAAUGACAGGGAUCUCUUUGUAAUUAUCUGUAUGCAGCAUUUUCACUCAUCCUCUUCUCUCUAGUUAAAUUACCCAAUUCCACCCUAAUCUGUCUAUCUACCUAGCAAGCUCUUACUCAUCCUUAAAGCCUCACUUGGCUUACAAGGCAUCUCCUCUCUAAGGCCUUCCCCUGACUUUCCCAGUCAGUUUUCCACCUCCUUUGCUUAGAAAUGCUGCUCCUUUACCCUUACCUUGCACUUACCUCCUUUCAGAACAAUGAUCCUACCGAUUUGUAAUUGCUUGUAUUAGAUUCUGAAACUUUUGGAGAUAAGGACUUUGUCUUUUCAUCUCUAUGUCCUGCUCUAGACUCUGUACCUGACACAUACUAGGUAAAGAGCCAAUAACUGGGUAGAUGGAUGAGUGCAAACAUUAUCAAUUUAAUUAAAGCUU